AGUGAACGCUGGCGAUAGGCCUAACACAUGCAAGUCGAACGGCAGCACAGUAAGAGCUUGCUCUUACGGGUGGCGAGUGGCGGACGGGUGAGGAAUACAUCGGAAUCUACUUUUUCGUGGGGGAUAACGUAGGGAAACUUACGCUAAUACCGCAUACGACCUACGGGUGAAAGCAGUGGAUCUUCGGACCUUGCGCGAUUGAAUGAGACGAUGCCGGAUUAGCUAGUUGGCGGGGUAAAGGCCCACCAAGGCGACGAUCCGUAGCUGGCCUGAGAGGAUGAUCAGCCACACUGGAACUGAGACACGGUCCAGACUCCUACGGGAGGCAGCAGUGGGGAAUAUUCGACAAUGGGCGCAAGCCUGAUCCAGCCAUACCGCGUGGGUGAAGAAGGCCUUCGGGUUGUAAAGCCCUUUUGUUGGGAAAGAAAAGCAGCGGGUUAAUCCCCCGCUGUUCUGACGGUACCCAAAGAAUAAGCACCGGCUAACUUCGUG
Molecule: ribosomal RNA, 492 nt
Filed under: uncultured bacterium
Lineage: Bacteria
Description: partial 16S ribosomal RNA
Rfam family: Bacterial small subunit ribosomal RNA
Source: RNAcentral